RNAcentral lists this ribosomal RNA (480 nucleotides) under uncultured Sphingobacteriales bacterium. Its description in RNAcentral is "bacterial SSU rRNA". It matches the Rfam family "Bacterial small subunit ribosomal RNA", at positions 900 to 1382 of the family's 1533-position model. The record is from RNAcentral. Lineage: Bacteria; Pseudomonadati; Bacteroidota; Sphingobacteriia; Sphingobacteriales.
CUCAAAGGAAUUGACGGGGCCCGCACAAGCGGUGGAGCAUGUGGUUUAAUUCGAUGAUACGCGAGGAACUUACCUGGGCUCGAACGUAAGAUGACUGUAGGUGAAAGCUUACAUCUCUUCGGAGCAUUUUACGAGGUGCUGCAUGGUUGUCGUCAGCUCGUGCCGUGAGGUGUCGGGUUAAGUCCCAUAACGAGCGCAACCCCUACCUUUAGUUGCCAUCAGGUUAAGCUGGGGACUCUAAAGGAACUGCCUACGCAAGUAGUGAGGAAGGCGGGGAUGACGUCAAAUCAGCACGGCCCUUACGUCCAGGGCUACACACGUGCUACAAUGGCCGAUACAGAGGGCAGCUACCUGGUGACAGGAUGCAAAUCUCCAAAGUCGGUCUCAGUUCGGAUCGGAGUCUGCAACCCGACUCCGUGAAGUUGGAUUCGCUAGUAAUCGCGCAUCAGCCAUGGCGCGGUGAAUACGUUCCCGGGCCUU